AGCCGGCUCGCGCGCGCGCGCUCUGCAGCCGCCCCCGGCUCGCUCGCCCCUUCCCGCGAUCUCCUGGCCCCGCCUUGGCGGCUGCGGGCUCCUACUCGCCCGCGGGACUGCACGCGAGCGUCUUGCGGACUGCGCUCUCGCCCCCAGGAGAGACAGGAAGGCUCGCGCCACGCCGGGCGGAGCCGCGGCCGGAGCCCGGGCGUCCAGAGCGCGGUGUCCAUCGCUGUGCACCGGCGGCGCCUCAGGCAGCAGGAGGGCGGCAGCCGCGAGCGUAGUCGGAGAAUGUUAAGGAUUAUUUUGAAUGUAGCUUGAGUAAAUCCUACAGUUCUUCCAGUAACGCACUCGGGAUUGACCUCUGGAGAGGGAGGAGGUGUUGCUCAGGAAACUUACAGUUACCACCACUGUCCCAAAGACAAAAUGAAAAGGCAAGGACUCCCGAGGGAGAUGGCAUUUGCCGGCCGACCACGCUACCAUUGACGACACUUCCAAGCAUUGCUAUUACAACUGUAAGCCAGGAGUGGUGAGUAUCCUCAAAAUUAAAUAUCAAUUCUAAAAUUUUACUUUCCAGUUACUCCAAAUAUUGUUUCAU
This 589-nucleotide long non-coding RNA is filed under the name Dasypus novemcinctus (nine-banded armadillo). RNAcentral's name for it is "lncRNA (ENSDNOG00000050175.1)". The record is from RNAcentral. Lineage: Eukaryota; Metazoa; Chordata; Mammalia; Cingulata; Dasypodidae.